GCGACAGGCUUAACACAUGCAAGUCGAGGGGCAGCGGGGAGUAGCAAUACUUUGCCGGCGACCGGCGCACGGGUGCGUAACGCGUAUGCAACCUACCUACAAGAGGGGGAUAGCCCGGCGAAAGUCGGAUUAAUACCGCAUGAAACAGGGGUUCCGCAUGGGAAUAUUUGUUAAAGAUUUAUCGCUUGUAGAUGGGCAUGCGUUCCAUUAGAUAGUUGGUGAGGUAACGGCUCACCAAGUCUACGAUGGAUAGGGGUUCUGAGAGGAAGGUCCCCCACACUGGUACUGAGACACGGACCAGACUCCUACGGGAGGCAGCAGUGAGGAAUAUUGGUCAAUGGUCGAGAGACUGAACCAGCCAAGUCGCGUGAAGGAUGAAGGAUCUAUGGUUCGUAAACUUCUUUUAUAAGGGAAUAAAAAGAUCUACGUGUAGGUUAUUGCAUGUACCUUAUGAAUAAGCAUCGGCUAACUCCGUGCCAGCAGCCGCGGUAAUACGGAGGAUGCGAGCGUUAUCCGGAUUUAUUGGGUUUAAAGGGUGCGUAGGUGGUUUUUUAAGUCAGUGGUGAAAGUUUGUCGCUCAACGAUAAAAUUGCCAUUGAAACUGGGAGACUUGAGUAUGUUUGAGGUAGGCGGAAUGCGUGGUGUAGCGGUGAAAUGCUUAGAUAUCA
Molecule: ribosomal RNA, 668 nt
Filed under: uncultured bacterium
Lineage: Bacteria
Description: bacterial SSU rRNA
Rfam family: Bacterial small subunit ribosomal RNA
Source: RNAcentral